This 253-nucleotide ribosomal RNA is filed under the name uncultured bacterium. Its description in RNAcentral is "partial 16S ribosomal RNA". It matches the Rfam family "Bacterial small subunit ribosomal RNA", at positions 524 to 776 of the family's 1533-position model. The record is from RNAcentral.
UACGUAGGGUGCAAGCGUUAAUCGGAAUUACUGGGCGUAAAGCGUGCGCAGGCGGUUUUGUAAGUCUGUCGCGAAAUCCCCGGGCUCAACCUGGGAAUUGCGAUGGAGACUGCAAGGCUAGAAUCUGGCAGAGGGGGGUAGAAUUCCACGUGUAGCAGUGAAAUGCGUAGAGAUGUGGAGGAACACCGAUGGCGAAGGCAGCCCCCUGGGUCAAGAUUGACGCUCAUGCACGAAAGCGUGGGGAGCAAACAGG